AGAGUUUGAUCCUGGCUCAGAGCGAACGCUGGCGGCAGGCUUAACACAUGCAAGUCGAGCGGGCGUAGCAAUACGUCAGCGGCAGACGGGUGAGUAACGCGUGGGAACGUACCUUUUGGUUCGGAACAACACAGGGAACCUUGUGCUAAUACCGGAUAAGCCCUUACGGGGAAAGAUUUAUCGCCGAAAGAUCGGCCCGCGUCUGAUUAGCUAGUUGGUGAGGUAACGGCUCACCAAGGCGACGAUCAGUAGCUGGUCUGAGAGGAUGAUCAGCCACAUUGGGACUGAGACACGGCCCAAACUCCUACGGGAGGCAGCAGUGGGGAAUAUUGGACAAUGGGCGCAAGCCUGAUCCAGCCAUGCCGCGUGAGUGAUGAAGGCCCUAGGGUUGUAAAGCUCUUUUGUGCGGGAAGAUAAUGACGGUACCGCAAGAAUGAGCCCCGGCUAACUUCGUGCCAGCAGCCGCGGUAAUACGAAGGGGGCUAGCGUUGCUCGGAAUCACUGGGCGUAAAGGGUGCGUAGGCGGGUCUUUAAGUCAGAGGUGAAAUCCUGGAGCUCAACUCCAGAACUGCCUUUGAUACUGAGGAUCUUGAGUUCGGGAGAGGUGAGUGGAACUGCGAGUGUAGAGGUGAAAUUCGUAGAUAUUCGCAAGAACACCAGUGGCGAAGGCGGCUCACUGGCCCGAUACUGACGCUGAGGCACGAAAGCGUGGGGAGCAAACAGGAUUAGAUACCCUGGUAGUCC
RNAcentral lists this ribosomal RNA (744 nucleotides) under uncultured bacterium. RNAcentral describes it as "bacterial SSU rRNA". It matches the Rfam family "Bacterial small subunit ribosomal RNA", at positions 8 to 796 of the family's 1533-position model. The record is from RNAcentral.